Molecule: ribosomal RNA, 822 nt
Filed under: uncultured Tenacibaculum sp.
Lineage: Bacteria; Pseudomonadati; Bacteroidota; Flavobacteriia; Flavobacteriales; Flavobacteriaceae
Description: bacterial SSU rRNA
Rfam family: Bacterial small subunit ribosomal RNA
Source: RNAcentral
AGCGGCAGGCUUAACACAUGCAAGUCGAGGGGUAACAGAUAGCUUGCUAUGCUGACGACCGGCGAACGGGUGCGUAACGCGUAUAGAAUCUGCCUUGUACAGGAGGAUAGCCUUUAGAAAUGAAGAUUAAUACUCCAUAAUGUUAAUUAGAGGCAUCUCUUAUUAAUUAAACAUUUAUGGGUACAAGAUGACUAUGCGUCCUAUUAGCUAGAUGGUAAGGUAACGGCUUACCAUGGCAACGAUAGGUAGGGGGUCUGAGAGGAUUAUCCCCCACACUGGUACUGAGACACGGACCAGACUCCUACGGGAGGCAGCAGUGAGGAAUAUUGGUCAAUGGAGGCAACUCUGAACCAGCUAUGCCGCGUGCAGGAAGACUGCCCUAUGGGUUGUAAACUGCUUUUAUACAGGAAGAAACAGUAGUACGUGUACUACCUUGACGGUACUGUAAGAAUAAGGACCGGCUAACUCCGUGCCAGCAGCCGCGGUAAUACGGAGGGUCCAAGCGUUAUCCGGAAUCAUUGGGUUUAAAGGGUCCGCAGGCGGUCAAUUAAGUCAGAGGUGAAAGCCCAUCGCUCAACGAUGGAACUGCCUUUGAUACUGGUUGACUUGAGUUAUACGGAAGUAGAUAGAAUAAGUAGUGUAGCGGUGAAAUGCAUAGAUAUUACUUAGAAUACCGAUUGCGAAGGCAGUCUACUACGUAUAUACUGACGCUCAUGGACGAAAGCGUGGGGAGCGAACAGGAUUAGAUACCCUGGUAGUCCACGCCGUAAACGAUGGAUACUAGUUGUUGGGUUUCGACUCAGUGACUAAGCGAAAGUGAUA